CUCAGCUACAGUCAUUCUCUCAAGUGAUCUGGUGUUUGGGAGACCCCCAGGAUCUGAACAGACCCUGGAGGGACACCCUCUAUGCCCCAAUGCCAUUCUGAUCAGUGCUGGGUAUUUUCAGUUGCCCAGCACAGAUCGCAUUGCAUUGGGCAUAAUGUCUUCAAUGUAAGAGAUGGGAGACUGCAAUACUGAAAAUAGCCAGUAGAUGGCAGCAACAUACCACUGGGAUAAAUUCAACAGUUAAACUGCUACAAUGCCCGAAAAUAAGACUUGCCCCCAUCAAAUUCAUCUAUCAAAAUUAUAACUGUGAAAACUGAAAUGGUCAGGUCUCUUUUAUGGCACUGUAACUUCACAGGAUAGUGGCAAAGGCAUAGAUUGGGGGUAUCGUUUUACUCAGUUGAUAUGGCUGAAAACAAUACGGGGUUUUCU
This is a non-coding RNA of Pelobates cultripes (western spadefoot toad), 429 nucleotides long. Lineage: Eukaryota; Metazoa; Chordata; Amphibia; Anura; Pelobatidae. The record is from the annotation of a GenBank genome assembly.